Mustela erminea (ermine) is the source of this 1649-nucleotide long non-coding RNA. RefSeq lists it as uncharacterized. Lineage: Eukaryota; Metazoa; Chordata; Mammalia; Carnivora; Mustelidae. The transcript has 2 exons. The record is from RefSeq and is a predicted model, not a curated record.
UUGUGCUUAAGCCCUAUUGUUCAGUGUUUUUAUAGACGACUCUUUGAAUCCAUUUUGGAUUCUGCAUGGAGAGGAAAAGGCUUCAAGUAUGCUCUCAUCCCAGGGUUCUUAGGUCAUGCAGAUAAAACCUAAGCUGGAUUUUCACAGAAUUUUCAAGGAACCAUACCCACCAUCUACACCUGUACUUUCCACUGGUUAUUUUUUAGACCACCCAAAUUUGUUUUUCCUACAAAACACACAACAGAAAUGUAAGAUGGCCAGAAAGUUUGCUCUCCUUCAUCUGCUGAUGGCUUUGGCCAUCCUGAUUUGCUCUCCAUUUCUGAGAGUCCAGUUCACUGGAGAAGGGGAAGCACAAAUAUCAAGCUAGCUUCUUGCAUAUAUUAUCUUGUGAUAAUUCACAGUAAACAGCAGUAAAUGAAGAGUCUUAGUGCAGAAAUAUCUGGUGUUAUGAUGUACUCUAUACAACUAAUUUUAAAAAGAAAUCCUUAUCUCCUCUUAUUACCAUGCAGGCCCUUCACAUUUCUGUCUUUUAGCAUUUUUUCCCCUUCAGGUUUGUGAGUGAUAUGGACCCCCGUUGAUCCAUGCUCCAGAUGGAUUAUGACAUAACUGGGUUCUUCUCAGUGUCUGUCACUUCCGGUUUUGCCGACUCCCUACACUUCAAUCCUUCCACGUCUCAGGAGCUCCACCAUCCUACAGCUGUCCUGGUCCUUUCACCAGCGAUCUGUUAAAGGAACUAAUUUUAACUUUAUAAUGGCUUUAUUCUACACUUAAUAACUGCAUCAAUUUGAGCAAGUCACUUACCUCUUGGUGAAUUUCCUCAUCUUUGAAAUACUGAUGUUUGACUGGAUCACACUGGAAAUCUUUCAAGAGUGAGGAUUCUAUGGCAAGCCAGAAAUUAAGUCAAGAGCUUUACGGCUUCCAAAUAGAAGACUGGAGGGAGGUGAUGCUGAAUUUAACCAAAAUAAUUAAUUUCUAAUGGUGAAGUCCAGAAACUGGCCUCACAUCAUUUCUGCCGUACUCCAUUGGCCAGAGCUCCCAGGAAGGACACUCGUCUCACUACGAAGAGCAUCAAGGAACUGAGGCUGCCACUCAUUUGCCACACACUGUGGGACAUAUGAUCUAAUAAGAAAUCCUAAUGCCUUGAGUUUUCAUUUGCCUCAUUUUUUUUUUUUUUUUAUAAAUAGUAAGUAAAUAAAUGUUUGAUCUGACCGACUUUCCUAACGGUGGACUUCUGGCAUUUUGAGUGAUGCAAUUCUUUGUGUGCACAUGUGCUAAAAAUCACAGGGUCUUUAGCAUCCCACGAAACGUCAUGUAUGCCUAACCCUCACCACUGGAUGAUAAAAACAUGAUCUGAAAUAUUUCACAGCUCUCCCUGAUGAAGCAGACAGCUCUCUCAGAUGAAAACCACAGGCCCGAUGUCUUCAUAUGGUAGAUUUCCUGAUCAGGUUACUAUUUGGCCUGUAUUGAUGCAGACAACAAUAACAUGAUUUCUUUUUGUUCCAUUCCAAUACAGACAAUUCAACGUUCCCCCUAUUUGUAUCCUCUUAUGUUCAUAUCCAUGCAUGUGGAGAGCUGUGGGGGUAUAUAAUAUACACCUCCCCUCAAGCAGGUAAUUCCAUUAUCAGAGACAUAUUAUUCAAUGUUCAAUU